This 253-nucleotide ribosomal RNA is filed under the name uncultured bacterium. Its description in RNAcentral is "partial 16S ribosomal RNA". It matches the Rfam family "Bacterial small subunit ribosomal RNA", at positions 524 to 776 of the family's 1533-position model. The record is from RNAcentral.
UACGUAGGGUGCAAGCGUUAAUCGGAAUUACUGGGCGUAAAGCGUGCGCAGGCGGUUAUGUAAGACAGGGGUGAAAUCCCAGGGCUUAACCUUGGAACUGCAUUUGUGACUGCAUAGCUAGAGUACGGUAGAGGGGGAUGGAAUUCCGCGUGUAGCAGUGAAAUGCGUAGAUAUGCGGAGGAACACCGAUGGCGAAGGCAAUCCCCUGGACCUGUACUGACGCUCAUGCACGAAAGCGUGGGGAGCAAACAGG